RNAcentral lists this long non-coding RNA (2179 nucleotides) under Solanum tuberosum (potato). RNAcentral describes it as "long non-coding RNA (STUB_LNC000188)". The record is from RNAcentral. Lineage: Eukaryota; Viridiplantae; Streptophyta; Magnoliopsida; Solanales; Solanaceae.
AGAGAUCUAAGAGCCAAAAAAGAACAAUGAAAAACUUCCUUGCAUCUCUUCAUCAUAUCUCUUCUUCCCGACUUCUCCUAAAGCUUGGGUUACGAGCUAAAUUAACUAUAUAGUUCGAGAUUUGAGGAAGAUGACCUAAAAACUUCGUCUCUUUUUCAAAUUAGAAACAUUGGUUGUUGCUAAAUCAAAAUAGCCUUCAGUUUGGGGAAUCUCAGUAGCUCCCAUCCAAGGUUCAAUUCUCCACCCACAUUGUAAUUUAAUCCCCAUUUUUCCUACCCCGAUUUUAUAAAAAAGAAAAAAAAAGAAUAGCCUUCAAUUCUCCCUAUUCACUUUCAAUAAUAUUUUUGCAGAGAAGCGUAUGCAUUCGAUACAGUUCUUUUACUAUUUUCAGCUUUCUUAACAGUUGCUUUUUGAUCUCUUUGUAGGUGCUGAUGUUUCAACAAACACUUAGAGCUUGUAAUCUUUAUGAUUGUGAACCUGAAGGUAUAUAUGAUUAAUUCCAGGUAUAUACUAUCAUAUUUUCCGGAAAGCAGUAGCAAGUUACUUUUUUUUCAUUGUUCCUUUUGGUAUUUUUUUCUUUGUUCUUCUUAUGAUAUUUAUAUGUUAUAUAUUCAAAUUUUCAUUUAGAUGGUGACUUUUGAUGAAAUAAUUUUUUUUUGAUGAAAAGAUGAUGGUGACUUAGAAUUAUAUGCUUGCGAAACUUUGAGGAUAGGAAGUUUUAUUCCACUUUUGGAUUUGAGUUGCUCAUAUGAACUUCCACAGAAGCUAUCGCAUUUAUCACUAGGUUUUAGAGGGUGACUCCAGCCCCACCUCUAUUUAGAUAUUGCAAUUUCAUUAAUGAAAAAUCAUAUGUAUAGGACCAACAGGGCCAGUGGCUAUGACUAAAAUAUAUUUUAGAAGUUCAUAGAGGUGUAUUUAGUAUUUACAAUUUAGGCUAUUUAGGCUUUAAACAAUUGUUUAAAUAUGUCAGAGAUGAAGUCAUAUUUGAGAAAUAUGUCAUAAGCUAUUUCCAAUUAUUCUAUUAUCCAUUGUUUUGACUCUUGGGAAGCAAUAAGAAUAAGAUUAAAGGAAGUAAGCACUAAAGUAUUGAAUAGAAAAACAUAGUUAUAAGAUGUGGCAUAGUUUUUUUCCUAAAGAAUAAUUGUCCGCCACAAUUAUAGAUGGAUAGCUUAAGUUGUAUGGAAUAAGAAUGUCAUCUAUUGUACCUUAUGUUUUCAAACACAAUUGGCAUGUGGGAGAAAGUCUUACCAUAUGACCUAAUCGAAUAAAUUACUAUCUAAUAUUUGCAGUAUUUUUCUUAAUCUAUGAGGGUAAAAGUUGCCUUGUUAUUUGGGACCAAGGGAUUGCUUGUUCUUCACUAAAUUAGUUGAUCUAUAAAAAGAGUACCUAUGAUGAAAUAACAAUCAGUUUAUUUUUUUUAAAAAUGAUUGGUGAAUGCCAAGAGAAUCCCAUGUUCUAGGGGUUUGGUUCAACAGUAAAUGUUGUGCUAUGUGGAACGCGAAAAUGUGCUAGGUGUACAUCACACGUUUGAAGUUUGGGUGUUAUAUCAAAUUUUGUAUUUAAUUGAAUAACAACAUUGUGAUAAAUCCAUUAUCUCAGUAGUUUCUCGGUCAUAAAAAAUAUUUGACGAGAGAGUCCACAAGAUCAUGCUGUUAGGACAAUGUUCCAAUUUCAGCUUCCAAUUUCGUUUUUAGAGGGUUGUACAGAGGUGAUAAAUGAUUUUAAGAUCCAUGGGUAUUUAUGCUUGUCAUGUCUCAUAAUCCAGGACUAUGUUGCUCGGACUCUUUAAAAAUGUCAAGAGGUGCAUGUCGGAUUCGCCAAAAGUAGUGCAUUUUUGAAGAAUUCAUUUGUAGUUUUCAUGAUUCAUUUUUCUUGAUAUUAGGCUCGAACAAGCAGAACAAAAUCGCUAAGAAAAUCUCGAGUACAUUUAGUUGUCAAGCGUCAUUGCUGAAGAACUUAUAGCAUGUCACCUAAUAUCUGAAAAAUUCUCAGAUAUAUUGCUCUUUUUUCCUGAAAUUUUUCAAUAGGGAAGCACCAUUCUUCAGGCGAUAUGGUAAUACCAUUAUCUACGAGCAACAAUAUCUAUAAAUGUAUAACAAUUUUUCAGAUGCUUCUCCUACAAAAUGAUCAGUUGAGCAUCUUUCGAAGAUCUGCAAUCAGCCAUACUGCAAAUGCAGUU